Non-coding RNA from Myotis lucifugus (little brown bat), 81 nucleotides. Lineage: Eukaryota; Metazoa; Chordata; Mammalia; Chiroptera; Vespertilionidae. The record is from Rfam.
AGGCCUGAAGAGAGAGGCAGGGUCUGAUCCACAGUCUCCAUGGCAGCUGUUGAUCAGCUGUUGCCUCUCUCUUUCUCUCUG